CAGUAGCCGCGGGAAAACGAAGGGGGCGAGCGUUGUUCGGAUUUACUGGGCGUAAAGGGCGCGCAGGCGGCAGAUCAAGUCAGAUGUGAAAGCCCCGGGCUUAACCUGGGAACUGCAUUUGGGACUGGUUUGCUAGAGAUCGGGAGAGGAGAGUGGAAUUCCCAGUGUAGAGGUGAAAUUCGUAGAUAUUGGGAAGAACACCGGUGGCGAAGGCGGCUCUCUGGACCGAUACUGACGCUGAGACGCGAAAGCGUGGGGAGCAAACAGGAUUAGAUACCCCUGUAGUCCCUGUCUCUUAUAC
Molecule: ribosomal RNA, 301 nt
Filed under: uncultured bacterium
Lineage: Bacteria
Description: partial 16S ribosomal RNA
Rfam family: Bacterial small subunit ribosomal RNA
Source: RNAcentral